Small nucleolar RNA from Myotis lucifugus (little brown bat), 123 nucleotides. Ensembl annotates it as small nucleolar RNA SNORA40. Lineage: Eukaryota; Metazoa; Chordata; Mammalia; Chiroptera; Vespertilionidae. The record is from Ensembl.
AGCACUUGUGUUUGUUUUUGUUUAAUUUGUGGGCAAAGACUACAUGCAGGUGUGAAAAAUAAAUCCUCUUUUGCAACCCAGAACUGUUCAGUAUGAGUUUUGUUAUAUGUAAGAAGGAACAUA